Molecule: unclassified non-coding RNA, 225 nt
Filed under: Hevea brasiliensis (rubber tree)
Lineage: Eukaryota; Viridiplantae; Streptophyta; Magnoliopsida; Malpighiales; Euphorbiaceae
Source: RNAcentral
GCCAACCCUUCCCCGACUCUUCCACGUGCAGAAAUCACCGAGUCUUCCUCCUCCGCGACUUUAGACACGCGCCAACAAGCCGAGUCCCACUCGGUCGGUUAAGCACGAGGCCAGCUGGGAAGGCGGAGGAGCACGAGGCCCAAGGGAGGGAGACUGCUGCUAUAAAGGGAGCAUGUAGACAGUGGGAGGUGGCACGGUGGGCUUGGAGAGAAUUCCAGCGAAGGA